AACCAUAGAAACCUGCGGAGUACCUGCGGAGGGAUCAUUACCGAGUGCGGGCCCCUCUGGGUCCAACCUCCCACCCGUGUCUACCGUCCCUUGUUGCUUCGGCGGGCCCGCCCUUUGUGGCCGCCGGGGGGCCUCGCGCCCCCGGGCCCGUGCCUGCCGGAGACAUCAGCCUGAACACUGUGUGAAGGUUGCCGUCUGAGUGGAUUGAUCAAAUCGUUAAAACUUUUAACAAUGGAUCUC
RNAcentral lists this unclassified non-coding RNA (240 nucleotides) under soil metagenome. RNAcentral describes it as "partial contains 5.8S ribosomal RNA, internal transcribed spacer 2, and large subunit ribosomal RNA". The record is from RNAcentral.